ACGUGUAAUUAUUUGACGGUACCGUAAGAAUAAGGAUCGGCUAACUCCGUGCCAGCAGCCGCGGUAAUACGGAGGAUCCGAGCGUUAUCCGGAAUUAUUGGGUUUAAAGGGUUCGUAGGCGGUUGAGUAAGUCAGUGGUGAAAUCUUAUAGCUUAACUAUAAAAUUGCCGUUGAUACUGCUUGACUUGAAUAGUAUGGAAGUAAUUAGAAUAUGUAGUGUAGCGGUGAAAUGCUUAGAUAUUACAUGGAAUACCAAUUGCGAAGGCAGAUUACUACGUACUUAUUGACGCUGAUGAACGAAAGCGUGGGUAGCGAACAGGAUUAGAUACCCUGGUAGUCCACGCCGUAAACGAUGGAUACUAGCUGUUCGGUUUUCGGACUGAGUGGCUAAGCGAAAGUGAUAAGUAUCCCACCUGGGGAGUACGUUCGCAAGAAUGAAACUCAAAGGAAUUGACGGGGGCCCGCACAAGCGGUGGAGCAUGUGGUUUAAUUCGAUGAUACGCGAGGAACCUUACCAAGGCUUAAAUGUAGAUUGACAGGUUUAGAGAUAGACUUUUCUUCGGACAAUUUACAAGGUGCUGCAUGGUUGUCGUCAGCUCGUGCCGUGAGGUGUCAGGUUAAGUCCUAUAACGAGCGCAACCCCUAUUGUUAGUUGCCAGCGGGUCAAGCCGGGAACUCUAACAAGACUGCCGGUGCAAACCGUGAGGAAGGUGGGGAUGACGUCAAAUCAUCACGGCCCUUACGUCUUGGGCUACACACGUGCUACAAUGGCCAGUACAGAAAGCAGCUACCAGGCAACUGGAUGCGAAUCUCAAAAACUGGUCUCAGUUCGGAUUGGAGUCUGCAACUCGACUCCAUGAAGCUGGAAUCGCUAGUAAUCGGAUAUCAGCCAUGAUCCGGUGAAUACGUUCCCGGGCCUUGUACACACCGCCCGUCAAGCCAUGGAAGCUGGGGGUACCUGAAGUCGGUCGCCGCAAGGAGCUGCCUAGGUAAAACAACAACG
This 1003-nucleotide ribosomal RNA is filed under the name Myroides sp. RNAcentral describes it as "bacterial SSU rRNA". It matches the Rfam family "Bacterial small subunit ribosomal RNA", at positions 457 to 1473 of the family's 1533-position model. The record is from RNAcentral. Lineage: Bacteria; Pseudomonadati; Bacteroidota; Flavobacteriia; Flavobacteriales; Flavobacteriaceae.